This 244-nucleotide ribosomal RNA is filed under the name uncultured bacterium. RNAcentral describes it as "partial 16S ribosomal RNA". It matches the Rfam family "Bacterial small subunit ribosomal RNA", at positions 15 to 254 of the family's 1533-position model. The record is from RNAcentral.
GAUCCUGGCUCAGGACGAACGCUGGCGGCGCGCCUAACACAUGCAAGUCGAACGAGAGAGAAGGAGCUUGCUUCUUCGAUCGAGUGGCGAACGGGUGAGUAACGCGUGAGGAACCUGCCUCAAAGAGGGGGACAACAGUUGGAAACGACUGCUAAUACCGCAUAAGCCCACGGGUCGGCAUCGACCUGAGGGAAAAGGAGCAAUCCGCUUUGAGAUGGCCUCGCGUCCGAUUAGCUAGUUGGUG